GCGCGGUUGUAGCAAUACAAUUGGCGGCGACCGGCGAAAGGGUGCGUAACGCGUGAGCGACAUGCCCGUCACCGGGGUAUAACCGAUGGAAACGUCGACUAAUCCCCCAUAACAUCAGAGGAGGCAUCUUCUUUGGUUGAAAUUCACGGAGGUGACGGAUUGGCUCGCGUCUGAUUAGCUAGUCGGCGGGGUAACGGCCCACCGAGGCGACGAUCAGUAGGGGUUCUGAGAGGAAGGUCCCCCACAAUGGAACUGAGACACGGUCCAUACUCCUACGGGAGGCAGCAGUGAGGAAUAUUGGUCAAUGGGCGGAAGCCUGAACCAGCCAUGCCGCGUGCAGGACGACGGCCCUAUGGGUUGUAAACUGCUUUUGCUGCGGAGCAAUAAGGGCCUCGAGCAGGUCCGAUGAGAGUACGCAGCGAAUAAGCAUCGGCUAACUCCGUGCCAGCAGCCGCGGUAAUACGGAGGAUGCGAGCGUUAUCCGGAUUUAUUGGGUUUAAAGGGUGCGUAGGCUGUGCGUUAAGUCAGGGGUGAAAUGCCGUCGCUCAACGACGGAGCUGCCCUUGAUACUGGCGUGCUGGAGUACGGAUGCCGUUGGAGGAAUGAGUGGUGUAGCGGUGAAAUGC
Molecule: ribosomal RNA, 626 nt
Filed under: uncultured bacterium
Lineage: Bacteria
Description: bacterial SSU rRNA
Rfam family: Bacterial small subunit ribosomal RNA
Source: RNAcentral